CUACUCCCACCUCCAUCGUGCUCCACCCCCAUCAGUCAACAUUCAUUUGACAAACAAAAGAGUCCAGCUGCCUCUGAGCCAAUCCUAGAGCUGCAAUAGGCUCGAAUGAGUCAGCUGUUGGAGCCCAAAGCUGUGCAGCCAGGCUUCCUGGUUGAGUAGGAAAGCCAAUAUCCAAGUCUGAUUGAAUCAGGUUUACACCUAGGGAAGCUCUAGUUUGGAGGAUGAAAGAAAGAAAUUUUGCUUUCCCUGAGCACUUAUCUUAGUGACAGGAUC
This 273-nucleotide long non-coding RNA is filed under the name Bos taurus (domestic cattle). RNAcentral describes it as "long non-coding RNA NONBTAT018935". Lineage: Eukaryota; Metazoa; Chordata; Mammalia; Artiodactyla; Bovidae. The record is from RNAcentral.